This is a long non-coding RNA of Bactrocera dorsalis (oriental fruit fly), 561 nucleotides long. RefSeq lists it as uncharacterized. The transcript has 2 exons. The record is from RefSeq and is a predicted model, not a curated record. NCBI's taxonomy places the organism in Eukaryota, Metazoa, Arthropoda, Insecta, Diptera, Tephritidae.
AUGCUGUUGGACGCAACGUUACGGUGAAUGGCGAUCGCUAUCGUUCGAUGCUAACAAACUUUUUGUUGCCAAAAAUGGAAGAACUGAACUUGGUUGACAUGUGGUUUCAACAAGAUGGCGCUACAUGCCACACAGCUCGCGAUUCUAUGGCCAUUUUGAGGGAAAACUUCGGACAACAAUUCAUCUCAAGAAAUGGACCCGUAAGUUGGCCACCAAGAUCAUGCGAUUUAACGCCUUUAGACUAUUUUUUGUGGGGCUACGUCAAGUCUAAAGUCUACAGAAAUAAGCCAGCAACUAUUCCAGCUUUGGAAGACAACAUUUCCGAAGAAAUUCGGGCUAUUCCGGCCGAAAUGCUCGAAAAAGUUGCCCAAAAUUGGACUUUCCGAAUGGACCACCUAAGACGCAGCCGCGGUCAACAUUUAAAUGAAAUUAUCUUCAAAAAUUAAUGUCAUGAACCAAUCUAACGUUUCAAAUAAAGAACCGAUGAGAUUUUGCAAAUUUUAUGCGUUUUUUUUUAAAAAAAAGUUAUCAAGCUCUUAAAAAAUCACCCUUUAUUUCAUU